Molecule: unclassified non-coding RNA, 534 nt
Filed under: Lodderomyces metapsilosis
Lineage: Eukaryota; Fungi; Ascomycota; Pichiomycetes; Serinales; Debaryomycetaceae
Description: Candida metapsilosis sequence contains 18S rRNA gene, ITS1, 5.8S rRNA gene, ITS2, 28S rRNA gene
Rfam family: 5.8S ribosomal RNA (bases 199-352)
Source: RNAcentral
GUAACAAGGUUUCCGUAGGUGAACCUGCGGAAGGAUCAUUACAGAAAUAGGAGAAGGUUGCUUAACUGCAAUCCUUUUCUUUCUACACAUGUGUUUUUCUUUUUUUUGAAAACUUUGCUUUGGUGGGCCCACGGCCUGCCAGAGAUUAAACUCAACCAAAUUUUUAUUUAAUUGUCAACUUGAUUAACUAAUAGUCAAAACUUUCAACAACGGAUCUCUUGGUUCUCGCAUCGAUGAAGAACGCAGCGAAAUGCGAUAAGUAAUAUGAAUUGCAGAUAUUCGUGAAUCAUCGAAUCUUUGAACGCACAUUGCGCCCUUUGGUAUUCCAAAGGGCAUGCCUGUUUGAGCGUCAUUUCUCCCUCAAACCUUCGGGUUUGGUGUUGAGCGAUACGCUGGGUUUGCUUGAAAGAAAGGCGGAGUAUAAACUAAUGGAUAGGUUUUUUUUUUCCACUCAUUGGUACAAACUCCAAACAUUCUUCCAAAUUCGACCUCAAAUCAGGUAGGACUACCCGCUGAACUUAAGCAUAUCAAUAA